CACGUAGGCGGAUAUUUAAGUCAGGGGCGAAAUCCCAGAGCUCAACUCUGGAACUGCCUUUGAUACUGGGUAUCUUGAGUAUGGAAGAGGUAAGUGGAAUUCCGAGUGUAGAGGUGAAAUUCGUAGAUAUUAGGAGGAACACCGGAGGCGAAGGCGGCUUACUGGACGACAACUGACGUUGAGGCUCGAAGGCGUGGGGAGCAAACA
Molecule: ribosomal RNA, 207 nt
Filed under: uncultured bacterium
Lineage: Bacteria
Description: partial 16S ribosomal RNA
Rfam family: Bacterial small subunit ribosomal RNA
Source: RNAcentral